This 270-nucleotide ribosomal RNA is filed under the name uncultured Leptolinea sp. RNAcentral's name for it is "partial 16S ribosomal RNA". It matches the Rfam family "Bacterial small subunit ribosomal RNA", at positions 1099 to 1382 of the family's 1533-position model. Lineage: Bacteria; Bacillati; Chloroflexota; Anaerolineae; Anaerolineales; Anaerolineaceae. The record is from RNAcentral.
CAACCCUCGCUGUGUGUUUAUAUGUGUCACACGGGACUGCCGGUCUUAAGCCGGAGGAAGUGGGGAUGAUGUCAAGUCAGCAUGGCCUUUUAUAUCCUGGGCUACACACACGCUACAAUGGCCAGCACAGUAGGUUGCUAAGCCGCGAGGUGGAGCCAAUCCAUAAAGCUGGUCUCAGUUCAGAUUGCAGGCUGCAACCCGCCUGCAUGAAGAUGGAGUUGCUAGUAACCGCAGGUCAGCUAUACUGCGGUGAAUACGUUCCCGGGGCUU